GCAGUUAAAAAGCUCGUAGUUGGAUUUCGGUUAAGAGCGACCGGUCCGCCGUUUGGUGUGCACUGGUUGGUUUUAACUUCCUGUAGAGGACGUGCUCUGGGCUUAACGGUCUGGACUCGGAGUCUACGUGGUUACUUUGAAAAAAUUAGAGUGUUCAAAGCGGGCUUACGCUUGAAUAUUUCAGCAUGGAAUAACACUAUAGGACUCCUGUCCUAUUUCGUUGGUCUCGGGACGGGAGUAAUGAUUAAGAGGAACAGUUGGGGGCAUUCGUAUUUCAUUGUCAGAGGUGAAAUUCUUGGAUUUAUGAAAGACGAACUUCUGCGAAAGCAUUUGCCAAGGAUGUUUUCAUUAAUCAAGAACGAAAGUUGGGGGCUCGAAGAUGAUUAGAUACCAUCCUAGUCUCAACCAUAAACGAUGCCGACUAGGGAUUGGCGGGUGUUAAUUGAUGACUCCGCCAGCACCUUAUGAGAAAUCAAAGUUUUUGGGUUCCGGGGGGAAUAUGGUCGCAAAGCUGAAACUUAAAGGAAUUGACGGAAGGGCACCACC
Molecule: ribosomal RNA, 546 nt
Filed under: uncultured marine eukaryote
Lineage: Eukaryota
Description: SSU rRNA
Rfam family: Eukaryotic small subunit ribosomal RNA
Source: RNAcentral